This is a long non-coding RNA of Sander lucioperca (pikeperch), 193 nucleotides long. RefSeq lists it as uncharacterized. The record is from RefSeq and is a predicted model, not a curated record. Lineage: Eukaryota; Metazoa; Chordata; Actinopteri; Perciformes; Percidae. The transcript has 3 exons.
UACAGAUCCGCUACCCGAUCUGGCAAACUUACAUAAUGCGGUUAUAGCUGAUAGAGGGCUGCAAAGCAAAUGCAGAAGUGCUGUUCACCCUGUUAUGAGUUGAUUAACCACUGAAACGAUUUUGGAAACAUUAUUUUAAGGUACAAAAGAAUCUUUGGUGUUGCUUUAACUAGUUAAGAAAACAUUACAGUGA